GUGAAUCAUCAAAUCUUUGAACGCAAAUUGCACUCCCUGGUAUUCCGGGGAGUAUGCCUGUUUGAGGGUCGUUAGAAUAAAAAAUCGAGGCGUCGCUCUUUUUUUUAAGGGUGAUCGCGUCGGAAUGUAGCCUUCUUUCAAGUUUUAAGUCAUGACAAAGUGGCUUAAAAUUCAUCCACCCGUUUAGAUUAAAGCGUAUUUAAUUGCAACUUUGAUUAAUAACGC
RNAcentral lists this unclassified non-coding RNA (225 nucleotides) under Funneliformis mosseae. Its description in RNAcentral is "partial contains 5.8S ribosomal RNA and internal transcribed spacer 2". The stretch from base 1 to 71 matches the Rfam family "5.8S ribosomal RNA", at positions 84 to 154 of the family's 154-position model. Lineage: Eukaryota; Fungi; Glomeromycota; Glomeromycetes; Glomerales; Glomeraceae. The record is from RNAcentral.